GAGGUACUGAUGCAUGCUACAGCAUGGAUGAACCUUGAAAACAUUAUGCUGCAUGAAAGAAGAUAUUUGACCCUGAGGCCAGUUCAUGGUCUCUAUCCCGCACCCACUUGAUUGAAGCCCCCAUCCAGUCCAGCAGCAGAAGUGGACGGAACUGAGUGAUUGACUACCUCCAUAAGACUCAGCUCAAGAAGAGGAGGGACACUGGGCAGCGCAGGGAGAGGAAGAAACAAAAGAGUUUAAAUGGACCAAGGAAAGGAGGCAGGAGAGAGGAGACAGAAAGAGCCGGACGAGGAGAGAUGGCUCCCUGCCCUUGCUUCCUCUGGGAGUGGACCAUGUGGCCGCUGGGCAUGUUGACACUGAGUCCUGAUGCAAGUUAAAGGAACUGUGUGGGAACUGAGAGCCAAGAUAAGUCCUCCAGACAGAAAUCAGCUAAAAAGCUAUGGACUGAACACUGCCACUGCAGGGGAUUCUGAGCCCCAGCUGUUCAACAGAGGAUGGUGCAUGGCUUUGCUCAUCGGCCUAAUUUAGAUGACAGAUGAUUGACCAAAAUGAGCCAUCAGAGGAUAAUGAAGACUGCUUUUUUAACAGCAAAGCCAAUUUGAUUUGUUAAUUGACGUGGCGCCAGCAGGCGGGAUCUCAAUUCCCCGACCAGGGAUCAAACCCGAGCGCCCUGCAGUGGAAGUGCGGAGUCUUAACUCCUGGACCGCCAGGGAAGUACCGAUGCUCCUAUAUCUUAA
Long non-coding RNA from Balaenoptera ricei (Rice's whale), 737 nucleotides. RefSeq lists it as uncharacterized. The transcript is spliced from 4 exons. NCBI's taxonomy places the organism in Eukaryota, Metazoa, Chordata, Mammalia, Artiodactyla, Balaenopteridae. The record is from RefSeq and is a predicted model, not a curated record.